AGAGUUUGAUCCUGGCUCAGGAUGAACGCUAGCUACUGGCUUAACACAUGCAAGUCGAGGGGCAGCAGGAUCUAGCAAUAGAUUGCUGGCGACCGGCGCACGGGUGAGUAACACGUAUCCAACCUGCCGAUAACUCGGGGAUAGCCUUUCGAAAGAAAGAUUAAUACCCGAUGGCAUAAUUAGACCGCAUGGUUUGAUUAUUAAAGAAUUUCGGUUAUCGAUGGGGAUGCGUUCCAUUAGGCAGUUGGUGAGGUAACGGCUCACCAAACCUUCGAUGGAUAGGGGUUCUGAGAGGAAGGUCCCCCACAUUGGAACUGAGACACGGUCCAAACUCCUACGGGAGGCAGCAGUGAGGAAUAUUGGUCAAUGGGCGCAGGCCUGAACCAGCCAAGUAGCGUGAAGGAUGACUGCCCUAUGGGUUGUAAACUUCUUUUAUAUGGGAAUAAAGUUUUCCACGUGUGGAAUUUUGUAUGUACCAUAUGAAUAAGGAUCGGCUAACUCCGUGCCAGCAGCCGCGGUAAUACGGAGGAUCCGAGCGUUAUCCGGAUUUAUUGGGUUUAAAGGGAGCGUAGGUGGACAGUUAAGUCAGUUGUGAAAGUUUGCGGCUCAACCGUAAAAUUGCAGUUGAUACUGGCUGUCUUGAGUACAGUAGAGGUGGGCGGAAUUCGUGGUGUAGCGGUGAAAUGCUUAGAUAUCACGAAGAACUCCGAUUGCGAAGGCAGCUCACUGGACUGCAACUGACACUGAUGCUCGAAAGUGUGGGUAUCAAACAGGAUUAGAUACCCUGGUAGUCCACACAGUAAACGAUGAAUACUCGCUGUUUGCGAUAUACAGUAAGCGGCCAAGCGAAAGCAUUAAGUAUUCCACCUGGGGAGUACGCCGGCAACGGUGAAACUCAAAGGAAUUGACGGGGGCCCGCACAAGCGGAGGAACAUGUGGUUUAAUUCGAUGAUACGCGAGGAACCUUACCCGGGCUUAAAUUGCAAAUGAAUAAUCUGGAAACAGGUUAGCCGCAAGGCAUUUGUGAAGGUGCUGCAUGGUUGUCGUCAGCUCGUGCCGUGAGGUGUCGGCUUAAGUGCCAUAACGAGCGCAACCCUUAUCUUUAGUUACUAACAGGUCAUGCUGAGGACUCUAGAGAGACUGCCGUCGUAAGAUGUGAGGAAGGUGGGGAUGACGUCAAAUCAG
Molecule: ribosomal RNA, 1185 nt
Filed under: human gut metagenome
Description: bacterial SSU rRNA
Rfam family: Bacterial small subunit ribosomal RNA
Source: RNAcentral